GUAUCCUACGGGGCGCAGCAGUGAGGAAUAUUGGUCAAUGGCCGAGAGGCUGAACCAGCCAAGUCGCGUGAGGGAAGACGGCCCUACGGGUUGUAAACCUCUUUUGUCGGGGAGCAAAGAGAGUCACGUGUGACUCAUUGAGAGUACCCGAAGAAAAAGCAUCGGCUAACUCCGUGCCAGCAGCCGCGGUAAUACGGAGGAUGCGAGCGUUAUCCGGAUUUAUUGGGUUUAAAGGGCGCGCAGGCGGAGGAGCAAGGCAGCGGUCAAAUUGCGGGGCUCAACCCCGUACUGCCGUUGAAACUGCA
This 305-nucleotide ribosomal RNA is filed under the name uncultured bacterium. RNAcentral describes it as "bacterial SSU rRNA". It matches the Rfam family "Bacterial small subunit ribosomal RNA", at positions 334 to 637 of the family's 1533-position model. The record is from RNAcentral.